GUGUCACUUAGUUAAGCAUGAAAGAAAUGAUAAAACAAAUGAAAAAUGGGUUGUCUUCUUCCACCCACCUGAUUGCCGAACCUUAUGCCAUUGAAAAGCAAAUAUCUUGUUUUCCUUUCUUCCAAUAAAUCCAAGUCAAUCUCUCACCAAAUUAACUUCUUUCUUUAAUCAAAAUUCACCCUAAGAUCAAGAGCUAAAGAAAGAGCCAUCUAUUGAAAGAAUUGAAGAAGGAAAAGUUUAGGAUUCCAUAUGCACCAAACUUGAAAAUCAAAGGUGAGCUUAGAAAUGUGUAGGAAAUACCAUCUUCUCAUUUCUUUAUGCAUGAAUUUGAAUUAUAAAACUUUAAUUUUCAAUUUAUUCAAUAAUUCCUUAAGAUAUAAAUUUACCUAGGUGAAAGAACAUCAAAGGAAAAAAGGAUAGCUAGAAAGUAGAAGUGGAAAAAAAAGAGAAAUUCAAGAAAGGUUUGAUGUUUGUAUAAUUUUAUGUUUUCCUUUGAUUUCCUCAUGAAUAUGUAAAAAUAGGGAUUGAUUUUCCUUGCUGAAUAUAUUGCUUUGAUUGUAUAAAUAUGUAAUAUGAAUGUUAGAAUAGUGUUCGAAAGGCUUAAGAUAAAGAAAUUUAACAUAGGAGUUAAAAGUGCAAAUCUGGCAUAUUCAUAACUUAUUGUGUUGUUAUUGAAAUUAGGCCUAAAAUAUACCAAAUAAAAGCUGAGACAAAUAGCUAAAACUUUCAUGAAUUGACUAAAUUUUGAAUCUCUAGGUAAAAUGAUGUAAAUUGCAAGUGAACCUAAACUAGACACAAUGAUAGAGCAUCCGGAACAUUGUAUUGAUUAUAUCAUAACUAAUUCUGUACUUAAUAAAAUUAGUUAAGGCCAAUGCCAAAUGAAUCUUAAGAAGUAUAUUUAAAACUUUGUAAAAGACACUUAAACUUAAAUUUAUAUGAAAAUGCAUGCACCUGAUAUGUAUUGUAAUACUAAAAACAAGAAACAAUACUGGACUGAUUAAGACCUUAUUGAGCAGCUUGUAAAGAAAAAUUCAUAACUUAAGCUAGCGUGAUCAAAUUUGCAUGAAUUACAUAUUGUUGGAAAGAUAAGACAUAAGUGUAGAUUUGUUAUGAAGAAAUUUAAGUCAAAUUCUAACUUUAAAGUGCUUGAAAAAUUGAUGCAAAAUUGAACAGAAUGCAACUUUCUAGAAUUGGAAUGCAUAAAAAUUAACAUGCUUGUGUAAUCGGUAAGAAUUAUACACGUGCUUACUAGUCAUACUUAUUUUUUGCACAUGCUUACUUGAUAAUAAAACUUAUUUGUGCAUGAUGAUUUAAAUAAAACUUUUCAUUCCUUACUUCUUAGUGGUAUAAAAUGCAAAAAGUGAAUUGAUUAGAAGCAAUAUUAGAAUGCUAGGUCGACAGUUUCUCAUCUUGUUAAACUUGGCAUAUAAUAUAUAUACUUUGAAAAUGAUUUCAAAUACGAGUCAAGAUUAACUUAAGGAUAUGGCAUGUCAUAUAAAUAUAUAGACUUUGCAGUACUGCUACUGAUACAUAUCUAUAUUUGAGGUUACACAUCAGGUACCUCAUAAGCAUGGCCAUAGAACUCUGCUAUCAUAGUUUUGGCUUUUGACCCUAUCGUUUGGCACCAUGUGCCCACCGUUAUAACUCCAUAUCUACCUAGUCGACCCUACUAUGUGUUUAUAAGGGCUGAAAACCUAAUUAAGAUUAAUGCUCGAUUUUGUGAAAUUAUAAGUGAAUGUUAACAUGUUUGCAUAUAUUGCAUGCAAUAAGCUAUGGUGAUUUGCUAUAAAUAUAAAAUAUGCAAUAGUGGCAAAAGAAAAUGUUUUUAUUGAAUCUAAAGGAAAUUCUUGGAGUGUACAAUGAUGCAUAUGACAUUCCUAUCUUAUACCAAGAAGUUUGACAAGUAUGUUUUGUAUCAUGUUCACUACACUUUACAUGCUUGUAAUUAUUUACUUAAUUAUCUAUAUACAUGAAUAUCUUGAUUUAUUUUAUUUUUUAAUUUCAAUCACCCACUAAGCAUUAGCUCACGUGUUGAUUUUUACCUCACGCAGGUUGUAGAUAAAGUAAAUACUGCAGAGGUCGUCAGAGAUCUAUAUGCAGAGGUCGUCAGAGAUCUAUAUCAGACAUCAAGACCAUUAUUGUAGCUGGUUGUUUUGAGUCUCCGAAUCAUAGUUCAGUUAUAUUUUGGCAUGUACAUAUUACCAACCUCACUACCACUAAAACGAACGUCGUGCAGUUUUUUUGUUGGUAUUGACUUUGGCUUUGAUCAUUAAGGUGAUGUUGCUCAUGUUAAUAGUAUUAUUGUGGAUCAAAAUUGAAUAAGGAACCACCCAUAUCAUUAGGAUCACCAUAAGUUGGCUGUUGAGGGACGUGAAGCCGACUAUGCUCCUGAUAAAGGGUAAUAAGAAUAUGUAGGAAGAUAAUUUAUCGGAUAUGAUAUCCCUUCAAAUUGGCCAUAGAACCUAUAAUUUGAUAAAGUAUCUUCAGUUGAUGAGCUACCACCAUACAUAAAAUUUGGUCUAUACAUACCAAAGCCGUAUCCAUAAUUUGAUGAAUCAAUUGACCCCUCCUCAUAUGCAACACCCUUACCCCUUGUUUGGGAUGUUUCAGCACCACCAGUACUAGAACUAUGAGUCUCAUGAUCUUUGAUAUGUACAUAUUGGAGAUAGUUCAGAAGCAAUUCUAAUUCCACUUUGUCUUUGACUAGAUGGAUCUUGUGAACUACGACUACCACCUCCUUCAACUCUGAUUCCUCCUCCACCUUGAUCACUACCACUACCACCAUCAUCAUCACUACUAGAGCUGGAUAAAAUAAAAGAAUCAUCAUCACCAGCACCACCUUGUUGUCCUUGAGUUUGAGCGGCAGAUUCAGACUAUGAUGGAGCAUUUUCAUCAAUACCCGCCUUUUCAUCAUCCAACUAUAGAUUUGGUUGACUAUCAAGCAAUGGAGAUUCCCUUUCCUCCAACCAAGAGUUUAACGAAUCAUCUUCUUCAAAAAUAUAAUCCAAAUUAAUUGGAUCACAGCUCUUAUCUAACUCUUGUUGGCUUUUUCUUGUCACAUUUCUAACUUUCAACCUCAUGUUGUGCACAAAGACAAGUGCAUGUAUUUUUUGUUACGUCAAUCUAUUUCGUGUGAAUAAGGAAAAAUGUGCUCCAAUUUCUCUCGCAGUUUAAAGCCGAAGUUGUUUGGCUCAACACUUUGAUAGCAAUUUUUCGUAACUCAGGAACACUUUUUCCAUAAUUAAUCCACCUCUCAGCUGCAAAAUAUUUUUAUUAUUUUAAUAAACUUAGUUGUAUAAAAAUGAAUAUACAAAAAUAAUUUAUAUUUAUUUUAUAAACUUAGUACCUGGAUUAGUAAACUUAAUUACCUUUUCCGCCAAAUCUCUCUAUUUUGUUCCGAAAAAGUAGAGCCUACAUGUUCCAAAUUCCAGUAAGUUAACUUCAAGUUCAAGAGCAACAGUUCAACUACACUAACACAGUAAAACUUGAGAAUUAGCUUGUUACUUACAUGAUUUAAUGGUUUUCCUUUGUUUACUAAAUCCCCCCUCUAAACGUUGAAUCACAUUUUUGAGACCCAACAUGAUCUCAUUAUCAUUUCCAAUAUCAUGUGGACCAUAUUGAUAUUGAGGAUUUCAAAAAUACAUUAGCAAAAUAAAAUAUAAAAAUAGAUAAUAAGUUAUCUCUUAAUUUAAUAAUUUAAUUUUAUAAACUAUCAAAUUAUAAUACACAAAGUUCUUACUAGAGGCAUGCAAGUCAUAAUGCAAUUGAAAAUUCCAUCUAUGAUCGAUUAUUCUCAAAUAGCAUCUGGAAUUUUUUAAAAUAACCAACUUUGCUCGCUCUAUUGCCUCAUAUAUAAAUCCCAUUGUUGGCUUGUCAUCUCCAUCAACUAAUCUUAAAACCUUUAGGAGAGGUUCUUAAACUUUCAUUAUUUGUUGUGCUCUCUCCCAAAUGUUUCUUCCUUCGCUGCCUAAGCCAAACACAAUUUUAUUGACUUCAUACGUUGGACCACUUGUUGCUUAUCCAUAUUUGCUCAUUAUCCAUUGCUAUGAUUCGAACAUAUUCCUUAGUUCCAUCCUAUAAUGGACAAUAGACUCUAAAACAAUGAAGUUUGUGGCAAAUCUAGUGAUGUCAGGUCGAAUAAUAUCUCUAUUGUUUGUGAAUUUCUUCAUAUAACUGACCACCUAAUUGUGAUUAUAAAUAAAUUGGAUAAUUAACUUGGCUUGGUCAAUUAUUUUUUUCACUCUUUUUCUUUCCAAUAUCUUCUAAAAUCAAAUCAAUAUAAUUAGCACUACAAGCAGUCCAAUAUAGAUUAGGGAAUUUCUCCAUCAAUUUCUUCCUCCAAAUUUAAUAACAAUUUCAUUGUCUGUUACCACUUAAACAACUUUUUCAGGGCCUAUUUCUUUCACUACUUUCAUAAUUUUGAAGUAGUAUUCUCCAUUGUUAUAUUUUAUAUUGGAUGCAUCAACAGGCCUGUGGAACAUUGUACCUCUAUUUGAGUAGAUAAGAAAAUUUACUAUACUCAUAGGUGUUGGCCUGCUCCAACUAUCACAUAUUAUAGCAACUCCCGUCUCCUCCCAUAUCUUAUCAAAUGAGACUAUAUAUUUUUUCAUUACACUCAUUUUUCAGAUAAAUUUCUGCAAUUUCAUAAGCACUAGGUGGAGAUACAUUAGGUCUGAUUUCUACUACUAUUCUUAAAAGUGCCUUUGUUCAUGGUGACUUAACAAUACUGAAGGAAAACCUAUUAUGUAUUACGAAAUUUCCAAAUGCUUUCAACAUUUUCUCCUCAUGUGUCUUUAACCAUUUAGUUUUUAAUUUUAACUGCUUUUGUUGCGCUUUGCUUUUCUCUAGUUCAACUUCUGCAGCACAACAGCCAACCAAGAUGCCUGCAUAUCUUUGUGCUUCUCUACCUCUCUUACGUGUCGUAGCAGAACGGCCCAACACUUGUCUGCUACUAUCACCAGCAUCAAAUCUAGAUCCAGUUCUCCUUCUGAAUUCAUCUUCUUCCAACUGUCUUAUGCUCGCCCAUCUCACCAUUUCCAUUUCAAUGUCCUCUUCCUCCUUAUCAUCUUCAAUUCUAUUUAUAUUCAUAAUUUCUUCUAAUUCUCUCUUUUUUCUUUAUCCUUUUAAGCCAAUUGGUAUUCUUUCAGGACACCAGCCAUAUCCUUCUUAACUUAGAAGAAACUUUAUGACAACCUGCAAUUUGAAUAGAUAUAUUAGCCAAGUGCAACUUCAAUCUUUAUUAUUCCGUCUGUGAUUUUUCUCCCACAAAAAUUGCAAAUCAUUUCUCCUUUUUUCCGUGUCGGUGUUGCAAACUUCCACCCAAUAUUAUCACUUGGUUUACCACCCCUUUAGUAGAACUAGAGCCACUUCCACGCAACAUUUUAUAUAUUUAAUAACUAUUCAUAAAAAUUAAAAGAUGUCAAAUGUUUAAAACAUGCAAGGUAAAUAUUUUUUUCAUAACUAAUAUUUUAAUUUUAACCUAACUCUAUAGUGCAUAUAUUAAUUUAAUUUCUAUUUAACACAAAUUAUAUAGAUAUGAAAUUUUUAAUUAUCAA
RNAcentral lists this long non-coding RNA (5555 nucleotides) under Manihot esculenta (cassava). RNAcentral's name for it is "long non-coding RNA (MESC_LNC002111)". Lineage: Eukaryota; Viridiplantae; Streptophyta; Magnoliopsida; Malpighiales; Euphorbiaceae. The record is from RNAcentral.